AUGGGCGACGCACGCUGGAGGGUUCGUUUCGUGGCGGACCUCGUGACGGCGCGACACGUCACGUUCAACGACGGCGAACUAUGGCUGCGCAGGGAGGCUCUCCGGAUCGUGCUGCUCGACACAAAGGGGCACACGGUGGAUGCGCGCUUUCUUCGAUCCGGUGAGUGGAUCGACAUCGGGGAUAUUGUCGCUUUUCCUUGCCAUUUCGCUAGGGUUUGUGAUAGAUCUCCGGCGAACGGCGGAUUUUCCGGCGAGGAUGCGCCGCCGCGUGGCCCUACUCACAGACACACGGUACACGGGGGCGGUCGUGCGGAUCUGGACGCGCACCGCCGAGUUCCACAUCUGACAGAUGGACCCGGGGUCCUUGGGCGUGGACCGGUCCGCCAUGAGACGGAUGCGCGACACGUAGAUGAGGGGGAUCGGACCGCCAUGAGUGCGAUGGAGCUAGGGUUUCUGGGGGCACCGCGGGUAUAA
This 474-nucleotide ribosomal RNA is filed under the name Triticum aestivum (bread wheat). RNAcentral describes it as "partial small subunit ribosomal RNA". Lineage: Eukaryota; Viridiplantae; Streptophyta; Magnoliopsida; Poales; Poaceae. The record is from RNAcentral.